RNAcentral lists this ribosomal RNA (116 nucleotides) under Escherichia coli. The record is from RNAcentral. Lineage: Bacteria; Pseudomonadati; Pseudomonadota; Gammaproteobacteria; Enterobacterales; Enterobacteriaceae.
CCUGGCGGCCGUAGCGCGGUGGUCCCACCUGACCCCAUGCCGAACUCAGAAGUGAAACGCCGUAGCGCCGAUGGUAGUGUGGGGUCUCCCCAUGCGAGAGUAGGGCCCUGCCAGGC